This 412-nucleotide long non-coding RNA is filed under the name Salmo trutta (river trout). Its description in RNAcentral is "lncRNA (ENSSTUG00000048559.1)". The record is from RNAcentral. Lineage: Eukaryota; Metazoa; Chordata; Actinopteri; Salmoniformes; Salmonidae.
CACGGAGCGGAGAGGAGAGGAGUGUAUAAAUAUCAGAGUGCCUCUUCUCUCCGCUAUACCAGACCUGACACAUGACCUAGUUGUCCCUGUCACGUCUCCUGUGUGUCCUCCCCAAGACCGCACUUCCCGAAGGAGUCGACUAGACAACGGUUGGUUUAUUCUACAGGAAGACAGUGGGAACAAGAGUGGAUCCAGCCCGCUUGACUGUGAUGACAAGGACUAACAGGACCAGCUGCCCUGUGGCAUUGUGGGACUGAGAACACCAAUAUUGAUGAGGGGCCAGUUUAGUCCCAACCUCCCCUCUAUGUCUGCAGGUCCAGUUCUGACAAGAGGAUACUCACUAUGACUAAUGGAAGCCUCUCUCUGCGUUCCGUCUCUCUGUAUACAACUCCUCCUUUGAGAUAGAUGGAAU